This is a long non-coding RNA of Hemicordylus capensis (graceful crag lizard), 7002 nucleotides long. RefSeq lists it as uncharacterized. The record is from RefSeq and is a predicted model, not a curated record. The transcript is spliced from 4 exons. NCBI's taxonomy places the organism in Eukaryota, Metazoa, Chordata, Lepidosauria, Squamata, Cordylidae.
UCCCUAGAGCUGUUUCCUGCAGCUCUCCUUGCCUUGCUCUUUCCAACCAGUCUGGGCCCUUCUCAUCCCUGCUGCCCCCUAAAGGGAAUGAAAGUCCCACAUCCUUCUCCAGACUCCACGGGGCCACCCAAGCCACCAGGGAGAGAGCAACUGGCCGUAUCCAGCCGCAGCACAGCACUCCUCCAGUGGCUACUGCUGAUGUUGGGAAGGCUACAGAGGCCACCAUGACCUCCUCCACAUCAGCAAGGUGUAGAGGGUACACCAACGGGACUUCAGCCUCCCCAAAGCCCACUCCGUGACCAUUCUUACACUGCUGUGUCAGAAAUUGAAGUUCCUCUCCAUGGAGCUCCGAGAUGCAUGGUUGUGGGUGAUGAGCCACUUCUGAAGACUGUAUCCCCGAUCUCGAGAUAUCACAGACUUGACUGCAACACCGCUGACAAUUAUGGAUGCAAGAAUUACUAAUCUCCAGGAUGAAAACUGCAGCAGCCCAUCUUAUCUUUGGAUUUUACCAGUAUUCCUGAGUAUCUAGAUGAGAUUAACUUUUUAAAAAAACUAGAUUUGAAGGGGAAACAAAUGUAUGAUAAAUUCAUGGGUCUUUUGUCAUUUUCAGGAAAACUUCUGCACUUAGAAACACCUGUAUUCUCCAAUGGUAUACUACAAGGCUAAUGUUAUGCAUGGAUACCUUUAGAACUGAUCUAAGGCAAGAAUACCAAGAAGUAUCAGCAUAUGCUUCCAAUACAGUUUUGCAAUCCUGUACAUCCUGUGAAAUUACAUGUUAAUAUGAGGCUCUAAGGAUAGGAUCCUUACUGGGUAACUGGUAUUCCUAGGUUAAAGCAAAUUUGUUUCACAGGGUUUUUUUAUAAGCAAUAUGACUAUGGUUGAUAAAAUAACAUCACAGAAAGCAACUUAGCCUAAUGUAACCAGUGUUGGGAUGUAUGUAUAUAUACAUUAUCUUAGUUCUGAUUUUGCCACUGAUUUAUUGUAUAUAUAUAUCUGUGUAUAGGCUUGGGGUGGAGUUUAGAAUGUUUAUGUCAAUUAGGCUUGUGCAUUUCGAUUCGGGUACAAAAUGUUUUGUGCCCGAAAAUGGCAAUUUCGGAGGUUUUGUAACCAAAACAAAAUCAAGAAUUAAAAAACAGAGAUUUUUAUUUCCAAAUCGAGAUGACUGUGUUUCAGACAGAAUACUUUGUUCUUCAGAAAAGCAUUGCAAUUGAAAAUGACUUCUCUGACUCUCUCCACUCCAGCUGAGGCACUGAGUGAUUAGCAGAAGAUAAGAUAUACAAAAAGCGGUUGAACAUGAAUGUUUAGUUAAGUAUGUGUUGUAUUCAGUGUGAUUGAAAUGCAAACUGACCUUGCAAAGGGAUUUGGAAGACAGCAUUUUGAGACAGAAAUACCCAAAUAUCUUUGAGCGUUCAAUGCAAUUCCAAAGCUCUUGCUAAAAGCCAUGGUAUAAAUUGUGUGGAGAAGCUUUUUGAGAAGCUGGUGAGUAAAGUUCUGAAAUUACACAGGUUUUUCUUUCCAAAGGUUUAAAAAGAAUCUCUUGACUUGUUCAGGGGUCUUUUGAAGAGCUUUUCCCCCCUUCUUCCGAUUUUUAUGAGUUAUAGUGGUGUCUAAGUUUUGUUGCCCAAGUUGAGCAGUCUAAUGUAAUUUAGGCCACAAUGUAAUUUGGUGGGAUAUGAUGUCUAAGCCAGUGGUUCACAACUUUUGCCAUUGUAGGGAUAGGUCAUCCACAUGGGACUAAAGGAGGGGGGGUGGAGAAUACCCCUAUCAAUCUAUUGACAUCCCCAGGAAUCUUAGUUGCUUCUCUCUUCCUUCUAACCAUGAUCCAUGGUUUUGCACUUUCUUAAAUACAGUGAUGAUAAAUCUCAACAAUUCUGAACAGUAGGCUGAUUUGUUUGGGCUACGGCUCACUCCACUUCAGUUAAAUGAACAUUUGAAGCUGUUCCAUAGUACCAAGGCAGUUUUAUUUUAUAUUUAUUUUUAACAUUUUAUAUCCCGCUCUUCCUCCAAGGAGCCCAGAGCGGUGUACUACAUACUUAGGUUUCUCCUCACAACAACCCUGUGAAGUAGGUUAGGCUGAGAGAAGUGACUGGCCCAGAGUCAUCCAGCUAGUAUCAUGGCUGAAUGGGGAUUUGAACUCGGGUUUCCCCGGUCCUAGUCCAGCACUCUAACUACUACACCAUGCUGGCUCAUUGGUCUAUCUUGCUAUCUCAAAUGGCCUGUGGUCACUGUUCCAUGGGGAGGAAGUGUUUUUAUUGAAAGAUUGCUUGAAUCCACAAAAGGGUUGUGCUGCUGUGCUAGUGCCACAGAGACAGGCUCCCACACGCUGCAAAAUUCUCAAAUUACUAUGCCAAAAAAUUAAGUGUUGUUGUUCAUCAUUCUCUUCACUCUUUCAACUUGUUUAUGUGGGGCUUCAGGGGCAAAACAGUGGGAUGGGUGGCAGUGCCCCAAGGGUGGUGCACCCAGAUUCCAAACAGGGCAAAGGGCUGAUUUCUUAGGAAUUUUUGAGGUUUACACGUCUUUAAGAUUUUUUUCUCAUAGGGGAUAAUGGAGGUUUCAGCAGCCCCAUAACUCCACCUGGGGGGCACUGGGAUGGCCCAAAGCGAGUGGUGUUGUAGUGCACAGAGGGUGCCAACCACCCCCCGGAUUGCUAACCCAUUGGGGUACUGGGCUUUGUUGUUUCUCAGGUUUUGAGUUUAGAUUCUCUGGUAGCAAAUGAGAUUUUGAAUGAAAAACCGUGAAUCCACUUUCACAUGCUACUAGAGAAUCUACUCUCAGAACACCUCUAGAACAACAAAACCCUGUAUUUCAUGGGUUGGCAACCCAUGUGGGUGUUUGGCACCCUAUGUGCACUACACCACCACUUGCUCUGGGCCACCCCAGUGCCCCUCAAGUGGAGUCAUGGGACUGCAGAAACCUCCAUUAUACCCUGCGAGGAAAAUCUGAAAGAUGCGUAACUUCAUUAAUUCUUUAAAUAUCAGCCCUUUGCCAAAUUCCUCUGGAAAAAAUUGUGGUAGGUUCCUUGUACCAACUGGGCACUACCACCAACCACACUCCACUCUGGGCCACCCACCCCCCGCAUGAAGCAAUACUUUUCCUGAAACCUCCUUCAUACCCUAUGGGGGAAAUCUGAAAGAAGCGCAAACUUCAAAAAUACACCAAAAAUAAUCAGCAGCUUGCCCAAUUCCUUUGAAAUUUUUGUGGUAGCUUCCACUCAUUGGGCACUAUAACCCCCACCCACUCUUUUGACCAUGUGACCAAUUUUUUUUUGACCAUGUGACCAAUUUUAAAAUCUGAAUUAAUUCAGAUUCAGAUUUGGAUUAAUUUGGAUACAAAUCAAAACUGGGGUGAUUCGGAAGGCUUAAUUUAAGACAAAAUACAAAAUGGGGUUGAUUUGGAUUUGGUACAAAUCGAAAUAGAAAAAAUACAAAAUGUGCAACCCUAAUGUCAAUCAUCAGUUCUGUAGACUGAUUGGUCAGUUUGUAUUCUUACUGGAUGCUUGAGACUUUUUUCCUUGUUAGGAUGAUCUUUCACUCAAAGUAGGGCUGUUGCUUAUGUUUUGGUAAUAGUUAAGUAAUAAACCUUAGUAACUUUGUCCAUAAACUUAACAAGCCUCUGUUUCUGCUCUCUUACACUCUGGUGUUACAGGUCCAGAGUGCUGAUAACAAGACGUUUAUUAACAAGAAAUGGCUACUUUUUGGUUACAGAGAUAUAUCUGGCUGUAGAGAUGCUGAGUGAUACAAAUUAUAGAAGUUGGUCAUUUAAAGUAAAGAUGUAGCUAAAUACUCUUGGACUGUCUUUUGUACUCAAAGAACAGAGAACAACAGAGAAUGGGAGAGCAGCAGGCAGGGGAUGCUGCAAACAUGAAGGCUAUGUGGCAUAUCUCCUUAACUGUCAGUGAUAAAUUAAUAUAUUAUAUAGAAGAUAAGAAAACCACAAGAGAAAUGUGGGAGAGAUCGGAAGAGCUUUUUCAACAGAAAACUAUAACAGGUCAAGUCUCUUUUAUGCUAAAGUUGUGCAACAAAAGAUUCAAGGAGAAAUAUUACAGGAACACAUAGGCUCUUUCUUGGGACUGUUGAAAGAAUUAGGAGAGCAAGAGUUAAAAUUACCUGAACCAGACAAAAUUGGGCUCGUGCUAAAUACUUUACCUAAGUAUUAAAAAAAUAUUAUUAACCUCCUGCAAAUAAAGGAGAAUGUGACUUCAUGUUUUGUACAAGAGCGUUUGUUGGAGUUUGAUCUGAGAGAACAAACAGAAAGGGAAGAAACAGUCCAAAAUUAUGCUCAUAAACUUCCUAAUGGAAGGCGAUGUGGUGUUUUGUUUUGUUUUUAAUUUUUAUUUGCGGUAUUCACGUAGAAAAGUAUCACAUAAUAACACAGUACACUUAACAAUCAUAUUUUCCAUAUAUCACAAGAAAAUCCAAAAUCCGAUCUAGUACUGUUAAUAUAAUCUGCCCAAAUAUGGUGGAACUGUGAUUCUACUCUCACAGCCUGCAUUAAUCUAAUCUUAUCAGUGAUCUUUUCUAAAGUGAAAUUGACCACACCUUAUUAUACCACUGCUCAAUUGCUAAUAGAUCCAAAUAUUUCCAUUGCUGAACAUGGCAGGCAAUGUUUUGUGUGUGGAAGUACUUCACAUUUAAAGACUUCAUGUCCUGAGAACAGAAAAACAAUUUCCAAGAGAGGAAGAAUGAUGAGGUAAAUCUCAGAAAGCUGGAUUUUUAAAUAAACAGACUGCUGCAUGAAAAAAGAAAGUAAAGGGAAGAAAUUUGUGAAUAACAGAAAAGUGUGUACUGCAAGAGAAAUUUUUUGCAGAAGAAAUACAAACCAGAGUAAAAACAAGAUAUUGGUAGUCAGUGGAGCAACUUCACAAUCUACAGGAUUUAACAACUUUAACAAUCUACAGGAUUUCUCAGACACUGAUAUGAACUAUAAAGUUGAAAUGUUCUUGGCAAAUGGUCAGUCAAUUUCUGCAGAAGGAAGAGGUACAGUUCUUCUAAAAUGUAAUGUUGGAGCAGGUGAAAUAAAUGAAGUACGCAUUCCAGUACCUAUUAUGUGCCAUGUUUGCAGAAUAGUUUACUGAGUGUGAAAACAGUUACAAAAAGGGGCCACAGAAUUAUUUUUAGAAGAAAUUGUUGUUUUGUGCUAACCGAUUUGGGAAGAAACCUAAGACUUUGCACACUGACAAUAGCAGUGAAUAUUGUGGAAAUGACAUUGAGCAGUAUUUAAAAGAACAGGGAAUUAAGCAUAAAAGAACUAUUACCUAUACGCCAGGACAAAUGGAGUAGCUGAGAGGAAAAAUAGAACUUUCCUUGAAAUGUGCAGAAGCAUGCUACUUGAUGAAGGACUGGAGAAUAAGUACUGGGGAGUUAUUAAGACAGAAACUUAUCUACAAAAUAAAUUACCUGCUAAAACCAAAGAUUCAACUCCUUUUAAAUUGUUAAAUGGAAGAAAAACCAGUGUUCAGAAGUAAAGCAUACAUGCACAUCACCAAGGAGCAGAGGGGGAAACUGGACUGUAGAAGUGAGGAAGGAAUUUUUCUGGGAUAUGAAUCAGGAAGUAAAAAUUAUAGAAUAUUUGACCCUGCUACAGACACUAUCAAGUUGCGCAGUGUUGGUUACUUUGAUGAGAAACAGAAAUCUAUUGUCAAUACAAUGUCGAAAUUGUGACUUAGUUUUUCCAACAGGUGAAAAAGCUGAACAGAAACUAUCAUGUCAAAACAAAGAAGUAAUCUUCAAUCUUGAUGUUGCAGAGAGAUAUCAUUUUGCAAGAGAAUUACAAGAGAAAAGUUCUAUUCAUAUAAAAUACUGUGCUUCAGAAGAAAUCGUUGCAGACAUACUGACAAAACCAUUAACCAGAGAACAUUUUCAAAAUCUGUGGAUGGCAAUUGGGCUUAUGAAUUAAGGAACAAGACAACGAGAACAGGGAUGUAUUUAUUUAUUUAUUUUUAUUUAUUUAUUUAUGUAUUUAUUUAUUUAAUCUAAAAUAUGUAUUACUGUCCCCUAGUACACUAUUGCUCAGGACAGCUCACAACAUCAAUCAAAUAGCUACAAAGUAAAUUAAAAGAUUAAUAAAGUCAAACAAGAUAAAUGACCAGGCUACAAUCACAUUUAAAAUUACAUUUUAAAAACAAGAUUCAAAUUAAAAGUUAUUAAUAAAAAGCUAAAAACUGAGAACUAUUUUUUAAAACUGAGAAUUUUGGAAUUUAUGUGUAUAUACAUUGUCUUUGUUCCUGCCACUUAUGUAUUGUAUGUAUAUCUGUGUAUAGACUUGGGGUAGAUUUUAGAAUGUUCAUGUCAGCCAUUAGUUCUGUAGAAUGAGUGUCAGUUUGUAUUUCUUACUGGAUGCUUGAGAUAGUUUUUCCCCCUGUUAGGAUGGUCUUUCACUCAGAGUAGGACUGUUGUUUAUGAUUUGGUAAUAAUUAAGUAAUAAACAUUAGUAACUUUGUUCAAUAAACUUAACAAGUCUCAAUUUCCACUCUGUUACACUCCGCUACGUCCAGACAAAAUGGAGCACUUUGAUAGAGCUCCGUAUUUCCUUUGGGGUGUUCCAUAGUUAGUAUAGGUAUUAGCAACCUUUCCUGUAGGCCAAGAAUACCUCAGCUAUGGACUUUUAAGACAGUUAAUUUCAGCAAAGCAUAUUCAUAGAUGCUGAAAGAGAAGACAUUAACUGGGGAUCGCUUUUUCCUUUGCACUAUUCGAUAAUAGACCUGAGAAGAUGGACACCUCACAGUGAAAGACCAGUGUGGAGAUGGCUUUGAAAAGAAGGGUAACGUAGCAAUGGGAGUCCCUAUAUGAAUGUGGUAUGUUUAAUUUUGAGCUGGGUUUAAUAAGUGAUGAAAGUAAUGAUGCAGAAUUUUAGAAAUCACACAGCAUAGUUACAGAGUGAUAACAGUCACAAAAGAUAUGUGAGGGCCCUCAUUGUAAGGGGCCUUCACAGCGAGGACCAGUCUUCCCCGUGUGCUGCCCUGUGAGAUAAGCUUGUUAGUUUACUCACAAAGGUGGUGCUCUU